Molecule: long non-coding RNA, 1749 nt
Organism: Fukomys damarensis (Damara mole-rat)
Lineage: Eukaryota; Metazoa; Chordata; Mammalia; Rodentia; Bathyergidae
Source: Ensembl
UGGGGAACCUUGCAUCCUAGUUGCAUCAGUAGCUUCUGGGGAGAAAGUAGAGGCAAGGGAUGGGGAAGGAGUUGAGGAUGCAAAGCCAGGGCUGUCCCAGUCUUCUCAGAGGGACUUGCCCAGGAGGACUUCUGUCUUUAAGUCUCAGCAUUGGCACAGGAAUACUAAAGCUUAUCAAGUCCACCUGGACUCGCUCGACAAAUGAGGGGGCCGAGGCCAAGGCCGAGCUCAAAGUCACUCUCCCUUCUCUUGCAGAGCAUGACAUCAUUCCUGGCUGCAACUCUGAUUAUUCCAGGCAAGAGCUAAGUGCGGUGGCCAGCAGGUUGUCUGCGAAUCCUCUUUCCCAGUGCAUCUCAGCAGGGAGCCAUGAGGUGACCAGGGGUGAGCAUGAAGGUCUGCUCAGGUCCCUGGGCACAUGCCAGGCUGUGUGUCCCCACCCUGACAUCCAGAGAUGUGACCCUCCAGGGCAGCACCAUGGUCCAGGAGCCUCGCACGCUGCCACGACUGUCUUUCCAGAGCUGUCCCUGAGUGAGGAUCUGGCCAUAGCUGCACUAGACCAGCUGGGGAGCUGGGCUUCUCCGCCAGCCCUCUCCUUGUCCAGCCACUAGUGUGACUCAUCACAGCGCUUGAUUCCAAGCAGGAAGAAAGGCUGCCCAGGGCCCUGAUUACAAAAGAAGCUUCUCAGCUGAGCGCUUCCAACGACCGGAAAGAAGACCCUGGAUGACCCAGGGCAGAAGACGCACGGGUAGAACGUAAGUGUGCAGGUGCACACACGCGUGCAUUUCCCCGUAUGCCCUCCCACGCUCACGCACUCCCGAGCACGCCUGCAGCCACUCACACCUUCUCACACAACUGCGCCCUGCCUGCGCCAGACAGCAGUUGAUCCAACUCAGCUCACGUCUUUGGUCCUGAUGUUCUGAGGAGACAAAGACAGGAGGAUUUGGUCUGAGAGAUGGCCGAUGCCAGGCUGCAGUGUUUCCUUCCAAUUAUGACUCCACAGGAAGCUCUCGCUUUUCACUGCCCCACGAGGAGUGAAGGAACAGGGUGUGCACAGCAAAGAGGAAAUGAGAUUGAGGCCAGGUGUGGUGGUGCAUACCUGAUAUCUGUAACGCCAGCACUCUGGGAAGCUGAGGCAGGAGAAUCAAAAGUUUGAGGCCCAGCCUGGGCAGUUUAGCGAUUUAGCAAGACCCUGUCUCCAAAGAAAUAAAAAGGGCUAUAGCUCAGUGCAAAGGCUUUGGUAUCAAUGCCCAGUACUGAAAAAAGGAAGGAAGGAAGGAAGGAGAAAUGAGAUUGAGAGAGAAAGAAAGAAAGAAAAAGGGAAAGACACACCCCUGUGUGUCUGACUGCCCCAUGUGCAGGGCCCUGAAUGUACAGAUUCUCACCUCCUGUUCGCCCUCAGAGUAACCAUAGGAGGUCACAGUGCCAGGGAGAGGUGUGGACAGGGUGUGGGAGAGAAGCAGGAUUGUAGAUGCACCUUGCAGCUCUGAUAUCUCAUCGGGAAAGACUUCAACACUCUCACCCUCUGCUAUAUGUUGGCUGUGUAAUCUGCAGUGCGGUGGGGCUGGGCAGUGGAGCCUAGGAGAGGGUUGGGUCCCAAGGGCUCCACCUUAGCGAGCAGGUCACCGUCAUCACAGCUGGAGUGGAGCAGUCAGCCUGACUGCGGCUUGUUGUAAAAGUGUGAGUUCAGCACCCCCACAAGACAUCUCCCACCAGCUUCCCCUCCCCGUGUUCAGCCCCUGAAUCUUGGAC